UUUGAAAUCUGGCCCUCGGGUCCGAGUUGUAAUUUGUAGAGGAUGCUUUUGGCGAGGUGCCUUCCGAGUUCCCUGGAACGGGACGCCAUAGAGGGUGAGAGCCCCGUCUGGUCGGACACCGAGCCUCUGUAAAGCUCCUUCGACGAGUCGAGUAGUUUGGGAAUGCUGCUCAAAAUGGGAGGUAUAUGUCUUCUAAAGCUAAAUAUUGGCCAGAGACCGAUAGCGCACAAGUAGAGUGAUCGAAAGAUGAAAAGCACUUUGAAAAGAGGGUUAAAAAGUACGUGAAAUUGUUGAAAGGGAAGCGCCUAUGACCAGACUUGAGCCCGGUGAAUCAUCCAGCGUUCUCGCUGGUGCACUUUGCCGGGCCCAGGCCAGCAUCAGUUUGGCGCGGGGGAUAAAGGUGACGGGAAUGUGGCUCCCUCGGGAGUGUUAUAGCCCGCUACGUAAUACCCUGCGCCGGACUGAGGUACGCGCAUUGCAAGGAUGCUGGCGUAAUGGUCAUCAGCGACCCGUCUUGAAACACGGACCAAGGAGUCGUCUUCGUAUGCGAGUGUUCGGGUGUCAAACCCCUACGCGUAAUGAAAGUGAACGCAGGUGAGAGCUUCGGCGCAUCAUCGACCGAUCCUGAUGUUCUCGGAUGGAUUUGAGUAAGAGCAUACGGGGCCGGACCCGAAAGAAGGUGAACUAUGCCUGUAUAGGGUGAAGCCAGAGGAAACUCUGGUGGAGGCUCGCAGCGGUUCUGACGUGCGAAUCGAUCGUCAAAUAUGGGCAUGGGGGCGAAAGACUAAUCGAACCUUCUAGUAGCUGGUUUC
This 812-nucleotide ribosomal RNA is filed under the name Cordyceps javanica. RNAcentral's name for it is "LSU rRNA". It matches the Rfam family "Eukaryotic large subunit ribosomal RNA", at positions 114 to 958 of the family's 3401-position model. Lineage: Eukaryota; Fungi; Ascomycota; Sordariomycetes; Hypocreales; Cordycipitaceae. The record is from RNAcentral.